GAUGAAGAACGUAGCGAAAUGUGAUAAGUAAUGUGAAUUGCAGAAUUCAGUGAAUCAUCGAAUCUUUGAACGCACAUUGCGCCCGCCAGUAUUCUGGCGGGCAUGCCUGUCCGAGCGUCAUUUCAACCCUCAAGCCCCCGGGCUUGGUGUUGGAGAUCGGCGAGCCCCCCGGGGCGCGCCGUCUCCCAAAUAUAGUGGCGGUCCCGCUGUAGCUUCCUCUGCGUAGUAGCACACCUCGCACUGGGAAACAGCGUGGCCACGCCGUAAAACCCCCCACUUCUGAAAGGUUGACCUCGGAUCAGGUAGGAAUACCCGCUGAACUUAAGCAUAUCAAUAAGCGGAGGA
This 345-nucleotide unclassified non-coding RNA is filed under the name soil metagenome. RNAcentral's name for it is "partial contains 5.8S ribosomal RNA, internal transcribed spacer 2, and large subunit ribosomal RNA". The stretch from base 1 to 120 matches the Rfam family "5.8S ribosomal RNA", at positions 35 to 154 of the family's 154-position model. The record is from RNAcentral.